UACGUAGGUCCCGAGCGUUGUCCGGAUUUAUUGGGUUUAAAGGGUGCGCAGGCGGAUUUUUAAGUCAGCGGUCAAAUCGUGGGGCUCAACCCCAUCCAGCCGUUGAAACUGGGGAUCUAGAGUGUGCGAGAGGUAUGCGGAAUGCGUGGUGUAGCGGUGAAAUGCAUAGAUAUCACGCAGAACCCCGAUUGCGAAGGCAGCAUACCGGUGCACAACUGACGCUCAGGCACGAAAGCGUGGGUAUCGAACAGG
Molecule: ribosomal RNA, 252 nt
Filed under: uncultured bacterium
Lineage: Bacteria
Description: partial 16S ribosomal RNA
Rfam family: Bacterial small subunit ribosomal RNA
Source: RNAcentral